Molecule: ribosomal RNA, 515 nt
Filed under: uncultured bacterium
Lineage: Bacteria
Description: partial 16S ribosomal RNA
Rfam family: Bacterial small subunit ribosomal RNA
Source: RNAcentral
AACGAACGUUAGCGGCGCACCUAACACAUGCAAGUCGCACGAGAAAGGGCUUCGGCCCCGGUACAGUGGCGCACGGGUGAGUAACACGUGGAUAAUCUUCCCUCUGGCGGGGGAUAACCUUCCGGAAGGAGGGCUAAUACCGCAUAAGACCACGGCCUCGAAAGAGGCUGCGGUAAAAGCAGGCCGCUAUACAUAAGCUUGCACCUGAGACUGAGUCCGCGGCCCAUCAGCUAGUUGGCGGGGUAAUGGCCCACCAAGGCGAAGACGGGUAGCUGGUCUGAGAGGAUGAUCAGCCACACUGGAACUGAGAUACGGUCCAGACUCCUACGGGAGGCAGCAGUGGGGAAUCUUGCGCAAUGGGCGAAAGCCUGACGCAGCGACGCCGCGUGAGUGAUGAAGGCCUUCGGGUUGUAAAGCUCUGUGGGGAGAGAAGAAUAAGUGUUGGCUAAUAUCCAGCAUGAUGACGGUAUCUCCUUAGCAAGCACCGGCUAACUCUGUGCCAGCAGCCGCCGUAA